Schistosoma mansoni is the source of this 48-nucleotide non-coding RNA. The record is from Rfam. Lineage: Eukaryota; Metazoa; Platyhelminthes; Trematoda; Strigeidida; Schistosomatidae.
AUCUAGCUGAUGAGUCCCAAAUAGGAUGAAGUGACGCGCGUCAUGGAU